Callithrix jacchus (white-tufted-ear marmoset) is the source of this 1109-nucleotide long non-coding RNA. RefSeq lists it as uncharacterized. Lineage: Eukaryota; Metazoa; Chordata; Mammalia; Primates; Cebidae. The record is from RefSeq and is a predicted model, not a curated record.
AUAAGAAACUUGCUCCGAAGUCCAAAAACAACCAGACUUUGUAAGCAGUUCCAAAGAGAAGCCCUAUUCAUGCUGGGGAGGCAGUACCUGUGGGGGAUGAGAAGGUCCUUCACUCAGACAACCAGAGCGGGAAUCCCAGCACCACAUCAGCGGACAGCCACCAAGUUUGGGGUGAUUUGCUACAGAAGCCACAGGAAAGACAGCCAGGAGAAUGGCUCAUGAGGCCCAUUUUCCUUAUGAGGAAAUACAGGCUCAGAGAGCAGCAGCGACUUGCAUGGAGACACACAGCACAUCCAGAGAAAAAAGCAUCCCAAGGGCACUGGUAGGUAGCCCAGCCUGCUGUUUGGAGCCCUCGAGGGCAUGGCAGGGACCUUCGGACCUUCUGCCCCAUCCCGCCAUCCAUGCCACUGAGUGCCCGAAGCACACCUGCGCCGCCGCACCUCCCCGGCUCCGUCUGAGCUUCUUGUCCCCAGUGUUCCCUUCUCCAAGAGGCCUUUCAUCUUCGCAGCUUUGUUUCCCCAACAUCCCUGACUCUCCUGUGAAAUGCAAAUGAAUUAGCGUCUAAUUACUCACUCCGUGCUGCAGCUAGAGCCUUCUCUUGUUAGGGUCCUGUCCAACAUUUCUCUCAUCAGCCCAGAACUCAGCCCGUUAGGAGGAAUUCCUGCUGGAGGGAGGUGGGCAGUCCCUCGCCCCUCCCUCUUUCCCUCCGGGACUUGUCAGCAAACACCUCAUCCGUGGAUUCCAGAAACACACCCGCCUGGUUGGGGUAGUUCCACUCACCACUCACUCUCAUUACCAGAAUCGCUUCUGCCCUGGCAAUUGUGCCAGGGCUGCGCUGGGUCCAGGAAUGAGACCCAGCCCCUGCCCUCCAGGAGGCUGCAUGUGUAACCGGGCAUGACAGUGGCUGAUGAAAUGAGGAACAUGCCCUAGGGCAUAGUGCAGCCUUUCCACUGCGACGGGCGGUUUCAGUCUAGGAGGUAAAUGGUAGACAGCUGGAGUCCAUGCUAAGACUUAGAGUGCAAACUUUAAGUCAUGGAGACGCAGUGUGGUACCGGAGGAAGAGCACAGGGCUCCAGCCUACCACUCUCUGCAAGACUCUGGGCCUUGAC